GACAGAGGGUGCUAGCGUUGUUCGGAAUUACUGGGCGUAAAGGGCGCGUAGGCGGCCCGUUUAGUCGGGUGUGAAAUCCCGGGGCUCAACCCCGGAACUGCAUUCGAUACUGGCGGGCUUGAGACCGGAAGAGGUGGGUGGAAUACCCAGUGUAGAGGUGAAAUUCGUAGAUAUUGGGUGGAACACCGGUGGCGAAGGCGGCUCACUGGUCCGGUUCUGACGCUGAGGCGCGAAAGCGUGGGGAGCAAACAGG
Molecule: ribosomal RNA, 253 nt
Filed under: uncultured bacterium
Lineage: Bacteria
Description: partial 16S ribosomal RNA
Rfam family: Bacterial small subunit ribosomal RNA
Source: RNAcentral